UUGUGUACGUGUUGAUGCUUCACAGCCCAACAUUCUGUGCCAUACAGCAUCGCCAGCCUUAUUGCCGUCCUAUAAAAUUUUCCCUUGAGCUUCAGUGGCAUACGGCGGUCACACAACACGCCGGAUGCACUCUUCCACUUCAUCCAUUCAGCUUGUAUUCUAUGGUUGAGAUCUCCAUCUAAUUCUCCGUUCUUUUGCAAGAUAGAUCAUAGGUAACGAAAACGAUCGCUCUUUGGUAUUUCUUGAUCUCUGAUCCUCACCCCUAACUCGUUUUGGCUUCCAUUUGCACUGAACUUGCACUCCAUAUAUUCUGUCUUUGAUCGGCUUAGGCGAAGACCUUUAGAUUCCA
This 349-nucleotide long non-coding RNA is filed under the name Malus domestica (apple). Its description in RNAcentral is "long non-coding RNA (MDOM_LNC010165)". Lineage: Eukaryota; Viridiplantae; Streptophyta; Magnoliopsida; Rosales; Rosaceae. The record is from RNAcentral.